CCAAACACGGACGAAGGCCCAGGCCUACUCGCUCACACUGAUGAACGAUCCACGCAGCUCUCGGCCACUGCACGCACGGACGGGCACAACCCAUGCACGACCUAGAUCGCAACCUCCAACGCUCGUGCGGUCGCGCCGCGCCGCCGCCUCCCUGCUCGGCUGUUCCAGUUCCGCCGUCGUCUUCUACCAGCCGUCAUCCCGACCUCCCCAGUUCUGAGCACCCUGGUUGCUCGCCUAGUCCUGUCGGCCCGCGCGAGUGUGCGGCCCCAGCCCACGGCUGUUGGCUGCAGUCGUCGUCCAUCGUAUGUCACUGGCCGCGCUCCCUGAGCCUCCUCAAUCCCCAGCACGGCAGCACCCCUCGACCGAUUCUGAAGCUCUGACCAUGAAACAGCGUCAGUUUGCGUGUGUGAUUCAAGGAACGGGAGAAGAGAUGGGCGGCGACAUGAAGCAGCCUUUCUCCCCCUUUACCGGCCUGUAAAUUGG
Triticum aestivum (bread wheat) is the source of this 483-nucleotide long non-coding RNA. RefSeq lists it as uncharacterized. NCBI's taxonomy places the organism in Eukaryota, Viridiplantae, Streptophyta, Magnoliopsida, Poales, Poaceae. The transcript is spliced from 2 exons. The record is from RefSeq and is a predicted model, not a curated record.